GUCGUAACAAGGUAACCGUAGGUGAACCUGCGGUUGGAUCAUUAAUAAAUUUUAUAAAGAUGAAAUUAUUCUGAAAAGAUGAUUUUUAUUCUUUAACAAAUUUGUGAACUUUAUUAAAGUCUUUUGGGUUGAUUUUAAAAUGUUGACCCAAAAUUUUUAAACUAUUCUUUAUUUUUUAACAAGUCUUUAAAAAACAUUUAAAUUUUAAUUUAAAAAACAACUUUUAACAACGGAUCUCUUGGUUCUCGCAACGAUGAAGAACGCAGCGAAAUGCGAUAAGUAAUGUGAAUUGCAAAAUUCCGUGAAUCAUCAAAUCUUUGAACGCACAUUGCGCUUCCUGGUAUUCCGGGGAGCAUAUCUGUUUGAGAAUCAGUAUUAAUAUCAAAUUUAUUUUUUAAUAGUUUUAUUUCUGUUUUUAAAUAAAUUUGGAAUUGAAGAUUUUACUAUUAUCUAGUGUAAUAGUAAUCUUUUAAUAAUAUUUUAAGUUUUUAAAUCAAAUGGUUUAGAAAACAAAAGCAUGACCAAUGAGGGUUGCACCUCUAAAAGAUUGCCCUAGUUAACUUUACAUAAUUUUGAUAUAAAAGUUUUUUAAAACAAAUCACGAAAAAUUAAUUUUUUAAUUUUUUAAGACUUGAUCUCAAAUCAGAUAAGACUACCCGCUGAACUUAAGCAUAUCAAUAAGCGGAGGAAAAGAAACUAACAAGGAUUCCCCUAGUAACGGCGAGUGAAGCGGGAAUAGCUCAAAUUUGAAGUCUCAUACCUUUGGUGUGCGAAUUGUAGUUUGUAGAAGUGUUUUCGGAGGUAGAUCUGGUUAAAGUCCCUUGGAACAGGGCAUCAUAGAGGGUGAGAAUCCCGUCUUUGGCUAGAACCCUAUUUCUAUGUGAUACACUUUCAAAGAGUCAGGUUGUUUGGGAAUGCAGCCUAAAAUGGGUGGUAAAUACCAUCUAAAGCUAAAUAUUGGCGAGAGACCGAUAGCGAACAAGUACCGUGAGGGAAAGAUGAAAAGAACUUUGAAAAGAGAGUUAAAUAGUACGUGAAAUUGUUAAAAGGGAAACGUUUGAAACCAGUCUUGUUAAAGGAAUCUCAAUUGAUUUAACAAAUCAACCCAUGUUUUCUUUAACAGGUCAACAUCAAUUUGAUUUGAAAUAAAAAGGUAGUAGGAAGGUGACGUUUGCUUCGGUAAACGUGUUAUAGCCUAUUAUCAUAUGUUUCGGAUUAGAUUGAGGAACGCAGUGUAGUCUUGGAUUUACUUGUUGCUAGCCCAAAAUCUAUUUUUAAACAACUUGUUGAUUGAAAGUAGACAAAGGUUAAUCGAUGGGAUAAAUCACACCUAUGCUUUGGAUGUUGACAUAAUGGUUUUAAGCGAC
RNAcentral lists this ribosomal RNA (1367 nucleotides) under uncultured fungus. RNAcentral describes it as "eukaryotic LSU rRNA". The stretch from base 633 to 1367 matches the Rfam family "Eukaryotic large subunit ribosomal RNA", at positions 1 to 648 of the family's 3401-position model. Lineage: Eukaryota; Fungi. The record is from RNAcentral.